This 69-nucleotide transfer RNA is filed under the name Glandirana emeljanovi (Northeast China rough-skinned frog). RNAcentral's name for it is "Rugosa emeljanovi (Northeast China rough-skinned frog) tRNA-Pro". It matches the Rfam family "tRNA". From Rfam's summary of the family: Transfer RNA (tRNA) molecules are approximately 80 nucleotides in length. The record is from RNAcentral. Lineage: Eukaryota; Metazoa; Chordata; Amphibia; Anura; Ranidae.
CAGGGCAUAAUUUAAGUAGAAUACCGGCUUUGGGGGUCGGUAGUAAAGGUUAAAAUCCUUUUGCCCUGA